This 459-nucleotide ribosomal RNA is filed under the name uncultured Methanosaeta sp. RNAcentral's name for it is "bacterial SSU rRNA". It matches the Rfam family "Archaeal small subunit ribosomal RNA", at positions 877 to 1338 of the family's 1478-position model. Lineage: Archaea; Methanobacteriati; Methanobacteriota; Methanomicrobia; Methanotrichales; Methanotrichaceae. The record is from RNAcentral.
CACUACAACGGGUGGAGCCUGCGGUUAAUUGGAUCAACGCCGGAAAUCUCACCGGGGCGACAGCAAUAUGAAGGUCAGGCUGAAGACCUUACCCGAUUAGCUGAGAGGUGGUGCAUGGCCGUCGUCAGUUCGUACCGUGAAGCAUCCUGUUAAGUCAGGCAACGAGCGAGACCCACGUCCACAGUUGCCAGCAUACCCUCCGGGGUGAUGGGUACACUGUGGAGACCGCCGCUGCUAAAGCGGAGGAAGGAGUGGGCAACGGUAGGUCAGUAUGCCCCGAAUCUCCCGGGCUACACGCGGGCUACAAUGGUUGGUACAAUGGGCAUCUACCCCGAAAGGGGAAGGAAAUCUCUUAAAGCCAAUCGUAGUUCGGAUUGAGGGCUGCAACUCGCCCUCAUGAAGCUGGAAUCCGUAGUAAUCGCGUUUCAACAGAACGCGGUGAAUACGUCCCUGCUCCUU